Molecule: ribosomal RNA, 114 nt
Filed under: uncultured bacterium
Lineage: Bacteria
Description: partial 16S ribosomal RNA
Rfam family: Bacterial small subunit ribosomal RNA
Source: RNAcentral
CGGUGAAUACGUUCCCGGACCUUGUACACACCGCCCGUCAAGCCAUGGAAGCUGGGUGUACCUAAAGUCGGUAACCGCAAGGAGCUGCCUAGGGUAAAACUAGUAACUGGGGCU